RNAcentral lists this ribosomal RNA (253 nucleotides) under uncultured bacterium. RNAcentral describes it as "partial 16S ribosomal RNA". It matches the Rfam family "Bacterial small subunit ribosomal RNA", at positions 524 to 776 of the family's 1533-position model. The record is from RNAcentral.
UACGUAGGGUGCAAGCGUUCAUCGGAAUUACUGGGCGUAAAGCGUGCGCAGGCGGUUGUGCAAGACAGAGGGGAAAUCCCCGAGCUUAACUUGGGAACUGCCUUUGUGACUGCAUAGCUAGAGUGUGUCAGAGGGGGGUAGAAUUCCACGUGUAGCAGUGAAAUGCGUAGAGAUGUGGAGGAAUACCGAUGGCGAAGGCAGCCCCCUGGGAUAACACUGACGCUCAUGCACGAAAGCGUGGGGAGCAAACAGG